RNAcentral lists this long non-coding RNA (3417 nucleotides) under Homo sapiens (human). Its description in RNAcentral is "HSALNT0326136". Lineage: Eukaryota; Metazoa; Chordata; Mammalia; Primates; Hominidae. The record is from RNAcentral.
CGCGCGGGUGCUCCAAGGAGUCGGAGGAACGCGGCCGCGCGACGGGCCCCGGACGCCGAGGGUGGUGCUUCCUCCGAGCCUCCGGUGGUGAGGCCGCUCUCAGAAGGUCAUGGAAGCGCAGGGGAGAGCGAGGCGGCCGAGCCCAGGCAAAUCCUCGAGAAAGGCCGAGUGCGCGACGGCUCUGCGGGGAGGACCGCGCCUCCCCGAAUGCGGCCGCUGCUGCCGCUGCAAACAGUGCCUUGAGGAGAGGAAAGCGGGGAACCGUGUUUUCGCCGCCUCUGUAACCACUGCACACAAGAAAACCAGCUUCUGGGAGAGGGGGAUGAUUGUUGGGACUUUGCGAAUUACCUAAACAGCCCAGGGCCGAGGCGCCGCCGCUCGCGUCCUGGUCCUCCUGCCGGGUGUGGGGCUCCCCUGCCCGAGAUGGCCAGCGGGCGCGCCGAGAGUAUCCUGGAGCCAUCUAGUCUUGCCUCGGAGGCGGGGUGGGCUUAUUUGUGCGGAGAAGAAACGGAUCUCUUAAUGGGGUGAGAUUUUUCCUCCGUACAUUGUUCCCAUUUCCGCAGUUUCACUUGGCCUCGGUUUUCUAGCAGAGUAAUCACCAAAUGAAAUUAGCUGGAGAGCGUUUGAUGGCGCAGAAUCACGGUCUGAAGAUGUUUACGCUGUAUGCCGGACGCGUUUGAUGGUGUUCUCUUCGGCACAAUUAAUUUUGCAAAGUUCAGAAAUGUGCCAGACAGAGCCCCUGGCACGCAGUCAGGACUCUACAGACACACCUUGAGUAGGAAACAGGCUUGUUUGUUUCAUCUGUGAUUUAUGUGAUGCACCAGCACCAAGGCCAACGUGUUUUUUAAAGACCUUUCGAUGAAACUCCAAAGCAAUUUAUAAAUUGGCAAAAUGAAGCUUGUUUUGUAAAAUAACUCUUCCUUGUUGAUCAUGUAAUUAAAUGGGCAACAAAACACCUGAAAGGACAUUUACUGAAAAGUAGACUCCCAAAACAAAAAUAUGUAUUUCACAGCUAGAUACGGUCGCUAUUAGCGUCCUAAUGGCCAACUCCAUCCAUGUGCGUAUUUUGAACACUAAAAACGCCUCCUGUUACCCCUAAGACCUUGUUUGGAUAACAUUUUUCUAUUAUAAGUACUCGAAACCAACCCCAUUUAAGAUGUUUACCCUUAUUCUUGAGUCCUUGAUGGUUUGGGAAAUUUAUCAUUAUUCAUAUUGCACAAUCCUGUCACUGUCUUUUCCAUUAGGCACAGUGCCUAAGGUCCACAAUAUUUUUAGAGGCCCACAAAAAAUAUUUUAAUUUCUUUUCAAAUCAGAAGGAAAAAAAAUUUAGGUUUAAGAAAGUAUUUUAAUAUAUAUUAAUAUAUUUGUUUUUGUGCUAAUACAAUCUUAAAAUGUAUGUAUAUAUGUGUGUGUGUAUAUGUAUAUAUAUUUUAAUGGAGUAAGGGGCUCAACGAAGGCAAAAAGGCCUAGAGCCCAAGAAAAACAUGAUGUGGCCCUGUUGCCUGGGGUUGAAAAAUCCCAUUCCAUGAGAAGAAUUUAGUUUUAAGAAUAUUACAUAAAAUGCUCAUUUCUGUGGCCUUGCUAUAAUAGAAAGAUGGAGAUUCAGAGUAGUGAUAAUGGCUAACAUCCACCUGAUACACACCAUGUGUCCAUUACCUCUUAAUCCUCACAGCACACCUGUGAAAUAGGUACUAUUCUCACACUUAGGGGGUAAUGCAGGUUUUGUGGGGCCUGCAAUUUAUGCAAUUUGGGUGGUCCUCUUAAAGAAAAAGCAAAUACUGUGUAUUAGUCCGUUCUCACACUGCUAUAAAGAACUGCGCGAGACUGGGUAAUUUAUAAAGGAAAGAGGUUUAAUUGACUCACAGUUCCACAUGGCUGGGGAGACCUCAGGAAACUUAACAAUCGUGGUGGAAGGAGAAGCAAGUACCUUCUUCACAAGGAAGCGGAAAGAAUUGUGAGCGGAGGAACUUGCCAAACACAAAACCGUCAGAUCGCGUGAGAAUUCAGUUACUAUCACGAGAACAACACGGGAAAACUGUCCCCAUAAUCAAGUCAUUUCUCUCCCUAACAAGUGAGGAUUACAAUUCAAGAUGAGGUUUGGGUAGGAACACAAAGCCUGACCCUAUCCCACAGCAUGUCCAGGCUGCCCUAGCACCACCCAAUAGAAGGGAAAAUGGCAGAGGGAAAGUCCUAGUGGAAAGAGACCUCAGUCUCAGCUAAUUGUGGUGACAAUAUAUUGCUUUUGCAAAUUGUACAUAAACAUAUGACCAGGUGAAUGUAUCGCCAAGGCUCCUGCCAAGGCCUGGGAUGGAGGCCUAGAGAAGAUGCCCGAAAGUUUAUGCUGUGUGAGCUUCACAGAAGACCUGCCUUCCAUGUAUACCCAUUUUACAGGUGUCUGUGCGGUGCAGAAACUGUACAACUGUAUACAGUGACCAUUUCUACUCUGGGUCUCUAAACAAGGGCUGGUAUCGUUACAGAGACUGAAGACUGAGGAAGACCAUCUCUGUAGGAUGCCAAGGAUUGACUGGAGAAAGUCUGGGGUCCCUCUACCUGGGAUGUGAUUCAGUACCCAAUGGUGGAGCGGUCGUUGAGGAAUGAAGACACAUACAAAGGGUAAAGGAGCAGGUUGGAGAAGAAUGAAGUGCACAUCAACCAAACAGAAGAGAAGCAAUUUGGAGGAGGAAAAAAUCAGUUCUUCAUGAAAGGAUCACAUUGAUCUUGAUCAGGAAUUUAGGAGCAGCUUACCUAAUGGCACCUGGUUACCUAAUGGCACCCUCAACAGCUUACCUAAUGGCACCCUCACUUGGUUCUGGCUCCGGGCCUCUCACAAGAUUGUACACAUGAUGAUGGCCAAGUUUGCAGUCAUCUGAAGUCUUGACUGGAGCUGGAGACUACAUUUCCAAGAUGGCUCACUCAUAUUGCUAGUAAGUUGGUGGUGUCUGUUGGCAAGAAACCCCAAUUCCUGGUCAUAUGAAUCUUUCCAUAGGGCUGUGAUGAGAGUCCUCAUAACAGGGCAGCUGGUUUACCCCUAAGCAAAUAAUCCAAGAGAGAGAAACGCAGAAGCCACAAUGUCUUUUGUGACCCAACCUUGGGAGCCACAUACCAUCAUUUCUACAAUGUCCUGUUGCUUAUGCAUGUUGGCACUAUUCAUUGUGGGAAGAGACUACACAAGGACAUGGAUACCGGAAGGAAGCGACCACUGGGGUCAUCUUGGAGACUGGCUACCACAAGAUGUUUGACAGAUCUAGAAGUCUUGAACCAAAGGUCGUUUUGUCAAAUGCUCUUGUCAUUUUGAUAAUAAACUCAGUGUCUUAGAGGUGCUAACAAAAAGGUUAUAUGUACCCAGAAAUUGAAAGCGGCUGGAAUUCAACUUCUUGAGUGCCAUCAUGUUUUUUUCCUGCUACAUGGUUUAAUAAA